This 380-nucleotide ribosomal RNA is filed under the name uncultured eukaryote. RNAcentral describes it as "partial 18S ribosomal RNA". It matches the Rfam family "Eukaryotic small subunit ribosomal RNA", at positions 592 to 976 of the family's 1831-position model. The record is from RNAcentral.
CAAUAGCGUAUAUUAAAGUUGUUGCGGUUAAAAAGCUCGUAGUUGGAGUUCUGCCAGGUGCCGCCUGUCCGCCCCAGUGGUGAGUACGUGGCGCGCAUUUGGCCCUUUCAAGGGGAGCGUAUCUGCACUUUAUUGUGUGGUGCGGGAUCCUUGACUUUUACUUUGAGGAAAUAGGAGUGUUCCAAGCAGGCUCUCGUCGUGCACAGCUCAGCAUGGAAUAAUAGCAUUGGACCUCGAUUCUAAGCUGUUGGUUGCCAGAAGCGAGGUAAUGAUGAAGAGGGAUAGUUGGGGGCAUUCGUAUUUAACUGUCAGAGGUGAAAUUCUUGGAAUUGUUAAAGACGGACUACUGCGAAAGCAUCUGCCAUGGAUGUUUUCAUUGA